CCUACGGGAGGCAGCAGUAAGGAAUCUUGCGCAAUGGGCGAAAGCCUGACGCAGCGACGCCGCGUGGGCGAUGAAGGCCUUCGGGUUGUAAAGCCCUUUUCUGGGGGACGAGGAAGGACGGUACCUCCGGAAUAAGCCCCGGCCAACUACGUGCCAGCAGCCGCGGUAAUACGUAGGGGGCGAGCGUUGUCCGGAAUCACUGGGCGUAAAGCGUCCGUAGGCGGCCUGGUAAGUUGGGUGUGAAAGGUUGAAGCUCAACUUCAAGAUUGCACCCAAUACUGCCAGGCUUGAGUGUCGGAGAGGAGAAUGGAACUACCAGUGUAGCGGUGAAAUGCGUUGAUAUUGGUAGGAAUACCAGUGGCGAAGGCGGUUCUCUGGACGACAACUGACGCUGAGGGACGAAAGCCAGGGGAGCGAACGGGAUUAGAUACCCUUGUAGU
This 440-nucleotide ribosomal RNA is filed under the name uncultured bacterium. RNAcentral describes it as "partial 16S ribosomal RNA". It matches the Rfam family "Bacterial small subunit ribosomal RNA", at positions 338 to 794 of the family's 1533-position model. The record is from RNAcentral.